UACGUAGGCAGCAAGCGUUGUUCGGAAUUACUGGGCGUAAAGAGUUCGUAGGCGGUGCGGCAAGUUUGGUGUGAAAUCUCCCGGCUCAACUGGGAGGGUGCGCCGAAUACUGCCGUGCUAGAGUAUAGGAGAGGUAAGCGGAAUUCCUGGUGUAGCGGUGAAAUGCGUAGAUAUCAGGAGGAACACCUGUGGUGUAGACGGCUUACUGGACUAUAACUGACGCUGAGGAACGAAAGCGUGGGUAGCAAACAGG
Molecule: ribosomal RNA, 253 nt
Filed under: uncultured bacterium
Lineage: Bacteria
Description: partial 16S ribosomal RNA
Rfam family: Bacterial small subunit ribosomal RNA
Source: RNAcentral